Balaenoptera musculus (blue whale) is the source of this 394-nucleotide long non-coding RNA. RefSeq lists it as uncharacterized. The transcript is spliced from 3 exons. NCBI's taxonomy places the organism in Eukaryota, Metazoa, Chordata, Mammalia, Artiodactyla, Balaenopteridae. The record is from RefSeq and is a predicted model, not a curated record.
CGCGGCGCCGCGAGCGGGUUGGCCAUCAGGGACCCCGAAGAGCUCUAAGAAGAGAGGUCUUGGUAGCAGAACAUGAACAAUGAAACCUCAGGUGCUGUAAUGUCAUAAGGUUGAGAAGGACUGGAGAGAAGGGGAUAUAGAUUCUCCCUCCUUCCCUGGAUGUAUCGUUACUCUGUGUAGCCUGCCUCCAUUUUUUGAUAUUUGACUGCUGACAGCUUUUUAAAGCCUCACCUCUCCCUUUUCCCCUUACGCCCCACACCUGAACAAGCUGAUGAGGAAGCCUGAAUGUUCUCUCCUUUGACAUCAGCAGGAGAUUCAAACCACACAAGCCCAUUCCCAUGGACAUGUGGGAACCCUCACCUUGGCCCCAUCCCCUAACCACGAUAAAAACCCA